Castor canadensis (American beaver) is the source of this 917-nucleotide non-coding RNA. NCBI's taxonomy places the organism in Eukaryota, Metazoa, Chordata, Mammalia, Rodentia, Castoridae. The record is from RefSeq and is a predicted model, not a curated record.
UCCUCACUCUCUGUCUGGGCUCCCAGGGCCUCAGAGACCCUGCUUCACUGCUCUGUCUUCUUACCAUCUUCCUGUGGCUCCUCCAGAGCCAUGGGCUGAGCUAACCAGACCGCUGAGCACCACAGUCAGUCUGCGUCCUUCGUCCUGGCUGCAUCGCCAUGGCUUUAUUUCUCAUUGCCUCCCCCACUUCCCCUUCCCCUUCCCACUGUGAGGGACCUGGGAAGUGGCGUUUACGACCAUGGUUCUGAGUUCUGCUGAAUUUUGAUCUGUUUAUAUGUGCUCUUUGUUAAGUAGACAGCAGCGCCCGGGUUCUCACUGCCUUCUGUCCUCCCCGGGCACCCGCUCAGCAGUGUCCCCACCCAGUCACCACAGCCCUACUCACAGAGCACCUGCACUCUUGUCCCUGUGGCCUGGCUUUGGAGUCACGGCCAGGAGCACAGGGAUGUGACAUGGUCAUCUCAGUUUGCUUCUGAUAUCAACAACGCUGGUCAACUGGCAGAGGAUCCUGGAGAGGAGGAAAUGUCGAUUCACCACCGUAAAGAAAGUCAUUCCCACCUGCCGUAGACAGAAGGGAGCCAAACCUUAAACCAAGCAGAGCGACUUCACCAAAAACUUGAGGGAGCCUGUGUCUGCAAAGGCGCUGAGCCCUGAACCCAGCCCCACCUAGACCCUGCAGGUUUCACAGAUGCCACUCUGUCAUGGGCUCCGUGCAGCCACAUCAGCCCUCCUGACAGUCCUCUCUAUGAACUUGAUCAGAGCCCUGUCUCCCUCCACCAGGCAGGUGGCCCUGGGGACGCCACUCAGUCUCUCACCUUCAGCUCCUUCUCUGUGGACUUGGAAGUGCUGUAGGGUACCUCACUGAGCAAUGGGGUGGGGCAGGGAUGUGCAAGCUUUAACCUCACACCUGCUGGUCAUGA